This 526-nucleotide ribosomal RNA is filed under the name uncultured bacterium. Its description in RNAcentral is "bacterial SSU rRNA". It matches the Rfam family "Bacterial small subunit ribosomal RNA", at positions 321 to 865 of the family's 1533-position model. The record is from RNAcentral.
GAGACACGGCCCAGACUCCUACGGGAGGCAGCAGUGGGGAAUAUUGGACAAUGGGCGCAAGCCUGAUCCAGCCAUGCCGCGUGGGUGAUGAAGGCCCUAGGGUUGUAAAGCCCUUUCGGCGGGGAAGAUAAUGACGGUACCCGCAGAAGAAGCCCCGGCUAACUUCGUGCCAGCAGCCGCGGUAAUACGAAGGGGGCUAGCGUUGCUCGGAAUCACUGGGCGUAAAGCGCACGUAGGCGGAUUGUUAAGUCAGGGGUGAAAUCCUGGAGCUCAACUCCAGAACUGCCUUUGAUACUGGCGAUCUUGAGUCCGGGAGAGGUGAGUGGAACUGCGAGUGUAGAGGUGAAAUUCGUAGAUAUUCGCAAGAACACCAGUGGCGAAGGCGGCUCACUGGCCCGGUACUGACGCUGAGGUGCGAAAGCGUGGGGAGCAAACAAGAUUAGAUACCCUGGUAGUCCACGCCGUAAACGAUGGAUGCUAGCCGUUGGCGGGUUUACUCGUCAGUGGCGCAGCUAACGCUUUAAGC